UUGGAGGGCAAGUCUGGUGCCAGCAGCCGCGGUAAUUCCAGCUCCAAUAGCGUAUAUUAAAGUUGUUGCAGUUAAAAAGCUCGUAGUUGAAUUUCGGGAUCAGAGUGUCGGUCGUGCCUCGGUACGCACUGGUAUUAUUGGUUCCUACCUUCUGAAGAACCGCGAUGUCAUUAAUUUGGUGUCGUGGGGAAUCAGGACUGUUACUUUGAAAAAAUUAGAGUGUUUAAAGCAGGCUUACGCUUGAAUACAUUAGCAUGGAAUAAUGAAAUAGGACGUUUGAUUCUAUUUUGUUGGUUUCUAGGAUUGACGUAAUGAUUAAUAGGGAUAGUUGGGGGCAUUAGUAUUCUAUUGUCAGAGGUGAAAUUCUUGGAUUUAUUGAAGACUAACUACUGCGAAAGCAUUUGCCAAGGAUGUUUUCAUUAAUCAAGAACGAAAGUUAGGGGAUCGAAGACGAUCAGAUACCGUCGUAGUCUUAACCAUAAACUAUGCCGACUAGGGAUCGGAUGAUGUUAAUUUUUUAAUGACUCAUUCGGCGCCUUACGGGAAACCAAAGUGUUUGGGUUC
RNAcentral lists this ribosomal RNA (564 nucleotides) under uncultured Glomeromycotina. Its description in RNAcentral is "SSU rRNA". It matches the Rfam family "Eukaryotic small subunit ribosomal RNA", at positions 548 to 1114 of the family's 1831-position model. Lineage: Eukaryota; Fungi; Glomeromycota. The record is from RNAcentral.